Non-coding RNA from Aegilops tauschii subsp. strangulata, 771 nucleotides. The record is from RefSeq and is a predicted model, not a curated record. NCBI's taxonomy places the organism in Eukaryota, Viridiplantae, Streptophyta, Magnoliopsida, Poales, Poaceae.
GGUUAGUUUCAUUCAAAUCAUGCAAAUUAGAGUCCGAAACAAGAGGAAAAGCAUUAGGAAAAGUAGAUACGAAGGAGACGUAUCAGAGUGACGUUGGAGAUGUGGUGUCCGGUGCGCGACCAGCCACUGCGACGUCACCCACCUGCACCUGCACUGCCGCCAACCUCCAUGAUUCCGCCGCGAUCCUUCCCCGUGCUCCGUCUUUGCUGCUGGGAGACUCCAAUCGCCGGCCCAGUCUCUCCUUCCCCGCCGGCUCUGCUGAUGAGGUAGUCCUUCCCCGCCGGCUCUGUUGAUGAGGUAGUCCUUCCCCGCCAGCUCCUUCCUCGCCGCCGACGCCUACUACUGCUGCUGCCCCCGCCGUCGACACCUACUAUUGCUGCUUCGACCACCUGCAGCUGGUCUUUCUACUUUGACCACACGAACUCGCCUCGCCUCUGGCCGGCCUCCUUUGUCCCGCCUUUGCUGCUGCUGCUAGAGACAAGGUCUGCAAUGUAAUCAUUUGUUGCGAGGUUAGCCGUGAUGCUUUUGUUUACAGCAGACGGCGGAGUAACUUCUCUUGCUUCUUCCCGGCAUUGCUCUUCGCUUCUAAAAUGAAAUAUUUAUCAAAAGUAUAUGGUGAAUGAAUUCGGUUACGACCAUUAACAACAGAAAAAUGCCUGGAAGUAUUUCUUUUAAGUGCUUUAAUUGUUGUACUCUUACAGUAUUUAUGAUAUUUGGUGACUCGUUGCUCCUGUGAGUAUGGUUUGACAUUGAUUAUAGAAAACAACAAAA